Molecule: ribosomal RNA, 443 nt
Filed under: uncultured bacterium
Lineage: Bacteria
Description: partial 16S ribosomal RNA
Rfam family: Bacterial small subunit ribosomal RNA
Source: RNAcentral
CCUACGGGAGGCAGCAGUGGGGAAUAUUGGGCAAUGGGCGCAAGCCUGACCCAGCCACGCCGCGUGAAGGUAGAUGGCCUUCGGGUGGUAAACUUCUUUUGUCAGGGACGAAGCAAGUGACGGUACCUGACGAAUAAGCCACGGCUAACUAGGUACCAGCAGCCGCGGUAAUACGUAGGUGGCAAGCGUUAUCCGGAUUUACGGGGUGUAAGGGGCGUGUAGGCGGGACUGUAAGUCAGAUGUGAAAUCCACGGGCUAAACGUGUGGCCUGCAUUUGAAACUGUAGUUCUUGAGUACUGGAGAGGCAGACGGAAUGUGUAGUGUAGCGGUGAAAUGCGUAGAUAUUAGGAGGAACACCAGUUGCGAAGGCGGUCUGCUGGACAGCAACUGACGCUGAGGCGCGAAAGCGUGGGUAGCAAACAGGAUUAGAUACCCUUGUAGUC